GACGAACGCUGGCGGCGUGCUUAACACAUGCAAGUCGAACGGAAAGGCCCUGCUUUUGUGGGGUGCUCGAGUGGCGAACGGGUGAGUAACACGUGAGUAACCUGCCCUUGACUUUGGGAUAACUUCAGGAAACUGGGGCUAAUACCGGAUAGGAGCUCCUGCCGCAUGGUGGGGGUUGGAAAGUUUUGGCGGUUGGGGAUGGACGCGCGGCUUAUCAGCUGGUUGGUGGGGUAGUGGCUUACCAAGGCUUUGACGGGUAGCCGGCCUGGGAGGGUGACCGGCCACAUUGGGACUGAGAUACGGCCCAGACUCCUACGGGAGGCAGCAGUGGGGAAUAUUGCACAAUGGGCGGAAGCCUGAUGCAGCAACGCCGCGUGCGGGAUGACGGCCUUCGGGUUGUAACCCGCUUUCGCCUGUGACGAAGCGUGAGUGACGGUAAUGGGUAAAGAAGCACCGGCUAACUACGUG
RNAcentral lists this ribosomal RNA (468 nucleotides) under uncultured bacterium. Its description in RNAcentral is "partial 16S ribosomal RNA". It matches the Rfam family "Bacterial small subunit ribosomal RNA", at positions 28 to 507 of the family's 1533-position model. The record is from RNAcentral.